Molecule: ribosomal RNA, 490 nt
Filed under: Leptolyngbya sp. BGA44
Lineage: Bacteria; Bacillati; Cyanobacteriota; Cyanophyceae; Leptolyngbyales; Leptolyngbyaceae
Description: bacterial SSU rRNA
Rfam family: Bacterial small subunit ribosomal RNA
Source: RNAcentral
AUAGGCAGUGGAAACUGGUCGGCUAGAGUUCGGUAGGGGUAGCGGGAAAUUCCCAGUGUAGCGGUGAAAUGCGUAGAUAUUGGGAAGAACACCAGCGGCGAAAGCGCGCUACUGGGCCGAGACUGACACUGAGGGACGAAAGCUAGGGGAGCGAAAGGGAUUAGAUACCCCUGUAGUCCUAGCUGUAAACGAUGGGUACUAGGUGUUGCGCGUAUCGACCCGUGCAGUGCCGUAGCUAACGCGUUAAGUACCCCGCCUGGGGAGUACGCACGCAAGUGUGAAACUCAAAGGAAUUGACGGGGGCCCGCACAAGCGGUGGAGUAUGUGGUUUAAUUUGAUGCAACGCGAAGAACCUUACCAGGGCUUGACAUCCCGCGAACCUUGAUGAAAGUCGAGGGUGCCUUCGGGAGCGCGGAGACAGGUGGUGCAUGGCUGUUGUCAGCUUGUGUCGUGAGAUGUUGGGUUAAGUCCCGCAACGAGCGCAACCCAU